AAACCCUUGUCUCGAAAUCCACGAAGACUUUCUGCUAAUAUUUCAGAUGGUGUCGUGCAUUUCGUUCUAACCGCACGGCAGAUAAAGUAAACCGGAAAGUAUAAUACUUCCCAGUUGGUGCAGAACCAAGUUGUGAAGAAAGGAACUAAUUUAAUUUCCGACACGAAAAUAAGAUAUCAAUUUAUAAAUGGAAAUAUAUGUAAUCUGGUGCAUUAUAUUCAAUUAUGUUUGGACAUAGGGAAGAUAUCGAAAUAGAAUAAGACAGAAUGUAUGAGAUGUGAAAGCGAAGUUGGUAAAAGCCUCUUGGCAGUGACAAUAGAGUUUCUUAAAGAAUUGAAGCACCGUGUCUAAUUACAUGCUGAUGACGGGGCUCGGUUACGGAGGCAUUCGAUGUGGAUGUAUAACUAGGACUCGUUGGUUUAUGAAAGUAUAAAUAUUUUAUGCAGUGGGUUGCUCCCACCCAGCUCGCCGUCACACAUAUUGUUACGCACACACCAAAAUAUAUCUGUAAUAAUCGAAGAAAGAAAUAUUAGGUAUGUUCUAUUUAUAUAAAUAAAGAUAUAUAUCUCUUUUUUUCAAA
Vespula pensylvanica (western yellowjacket) is the source of this 580-nucleotide long non-coding RNA. RefSeq lists it as uncharacterized. The record is from RefSeq and is a predicted model, not a curated record. Lineage: Eukaryota; Metazoa; Arthropoda; Insecta; Hymenoptera; Vespidae. The transcript is spliced from 2 exons.